This 253-nucleotide ribosomal RNA is filed under the name uncultured bacterium. RNAcentral describes it as "partial 16S ribosomal RNA". It matches the Rfam family "Bacterial small subunit ribosomal RNA", at positions 524 to 776 of the family's 1533-position model. The record is from RNAcentral.
UACGAAGGGGGCUAGCGUUGCUCGGAAUGACUGGGCGUAAAGGGCGCGUAGGCGGUUCAUACAGUCAGAUGUGAAAUUCCUGGGCCCAACCUGGGGGCUGCAUUUGAUACGUGUGGACUAGAGUGGGGAAGAGGGUCGUGGAAUUCCCAGUGUAGAGGUGAAAUUCGUAGAUAUCGGGAGGAACACCAGUGGCGAAGGCGGCGACCUGGACGGACACUGACGCUGAGACGCGAAAGCGUGGGGAGCAAACAGG